Molecule: ribosomal RNA, 253 nt
Filed under: uncultured bacterium
Lineage: Bacteria
Description: partial 16S ribosomal RNA
Rfam family: Bacterial small subunit ribosomal RNA
Source: RNAcentral
UACGUAGGGGGCAAGCGUUGUCCGGAAUCAUUGGGCGUAAAGAGCGUGUAGGCCGCUCGAUAAGUCUGCUGUGAAAGUCCAGGGCUCAACCCUGGAAGGCCGGUGGAAACUGUCGGGCUAGAGUCCGGAAGAGGCGAGUGGAAUUCCCGGUGUAGCGGUGAAAUGCGCAGAUAUCGGGAGGAACACCAAUGGCGAAGGCAGCUCGCUGGGACGGUACUGACGCUGAGACGCGAAAGCGUGGGGAGCAAACAGG